UGCCAGCAGCCGCGGUAAUACGAACCGUCCAAACGUUAUUCGGUAUCACUGGGCUUAAAGCGUGCGUAGACGGCUUGGUAGGUGUGAUGUGAAAGCCCGGGGCUCAACCCCGGAAGUGCAUUGGAAACUGGCGAACUUGAGUACGGGAGAGGAAAGUGGAAUUCCGAGUGUAGGGGUGAAAUCCGUAGAUAUUCGGAGGAACACCAGUGGCGAAGGCGGCUUUCUGGACCGAUACUGACGCUGAGACGCGAAAGCGUGGGGAGCAAACAGGAUUAGAUA
This 279-nucleotide ribosomal RNA is filed under the name uncultured bacterium. RNAcentral's name for it is "partial 16S ribosomal RNA". It matches the Rfam family "Bacterial small subunit ribosomal RNA", at positions 506 to 784 of the family's 1533-position model. The record is from RNAcentral.